RNAcentral lists this unclassified non-coding RNA (211 nucleotides) under Hevea brasiliensis (rubber tree). Lineage: Eukaryota; Viridiplantae; Streptophyta; Magnoliopsida; Malpighiales; Euphorbiaceae. The record is from RNAcentral.
UAUUCAUGGGUUCCAACAAAGGACAUGGAUCGGGCUGCAGUGGGUUCUGCUACAAGCUCUGGAAGUGCACUAGUUGGCAGUCCAAGCUCUGCCCGAGGUUUUCGGGUCUUCUUCUUACCUUUUUGCGGGAAGAUUCGAGGAAUAAAGCAUGCAGGCUGGAUGCAUACAGAUGAAGGCUCAAUACAGGCAGGCUGAACACAAAAUGCACCAC